CUGCCCUCAAGCCCGGCUUGUGUGUUAGGCCUCGUCCCCCUUCCCAGGGGGACGGGCCCGAAAGGCAGCGGCGGCACCGCGUCCGGUCCUCGAGCGUAUGGGGCUUUGUCACCCGCUCUGUAGGCCCGGCCGGCGCUUGCCGAUCAACCAAAACUAUUUUCCA
Molecule: unclassified non-coding RNA, 163 nt
Filed under: uncultured Penicillium
Lineage: Eukaryota; Fungi; Ascomycota; Eurotiomycetes; Eurotiales; Aspergillaceae
Description: sequence contains ITS2
Source: RNAcentral